UUUAUGAUAUGUUAAUGAUAUUUGACUUCUCUCCUGUUUCUGUUCCAGAGAAGCAUUGCAUACCUGUUCCCCUCCGGCCUAUUUGACAAAAAAGCCAAACCACUGAUGAAGCAUCCGGAUGAGGUGUUUCCAAAACAGAGAGCUGUCCAAUGGGGCGCAGAUGGACGGCCAUUCCACUUUCUGUUCUACACAGGAAAGCAGUCCUACUACUCUCUAAUGCACGUGAGUACUGGGUGUAUGAGUGAGAAAGACUGAG
Long non-coding RNA from Oncorhynchus gorbuscha (pink salmon), 256 nucleotides. RefSeq lists it as uncharacterized. The transcript is spliced from 3 exons. The record is from RefSeq and is a predicted model, not a curated record. NCBI's taxonomy places the organism in Eukaryota, Metazoa, Chordata, Actinopteri, Salmoniformes, Salmonidae.